AACGAACGCUGGCGGCAGGCUUAACACAUGCAAGUCGAGCGCCCCGCAAGGGGAGCGGCAGACGGGUGAGUAACGCGUGGGAAUCUACCGUGCCCUACGGAAUAGCUCCGGGAAACUGGAAUUAAUACCGUAUACGCCCUUUGGGGGAAAGAUUUAUCGGGGUAUGAUGAGCCCGCGUUGGAUUAGCUAGUUGGUGGGGUAAAGGCCUACCAAGGCGACGAUCCAUAGCUGGUCUGAGAGGAUGAUCAGCCACAUUGGGACUGAGACACGGCCCAAACUCCUACGGGAGGCAGCAGUGGGGAAUAUUGGACAAUGGGCGCAAGCCUGAUCCAGCCAUGCCGCGUGAGUGAUGAAGGCCCUAGGGUUGUAAAGCUCCUUCACCGGUGAAGAUAAUGACGGUAACCGGAGAAGAAGCCCCGGCUAACUUCGUGCCAGCCGCCGCGGUAA
Molecule: ribosomal RNA, 447 nt
Filed under: uncultured bacterium
Lineage: Bacteria
Description: partial 16S ribosomal RNA
Rfam family: Bacterial small subunit ribosomal RNA
Source: RNAcentral